RNAcentral lists this ribosomal RNA (494 nucleotides) under uncultured bacterium. RNAcentral describes it as "partial 16S ribosomal RNA". It matches the Rfam family "Bacterial small subunit ribosomal RNA", at positions 28 to 507 of the family's 1533-position model. The record is from RNAcentral.
GACGAACGCUGGCGGCGCGCUUAACACAUGCAAGUCGAACGGAAAGGCCUGCUUUCCCUUGUGGAUUGCGGGUACUCGAGUGGCGGACGGGUGAGUAACACGUGAGUGAUCUGCCCCCAACUUGGGUAUAAGCCUGGGAAACUGGGUCUAAUUCCCGAUAGGACUGCAGGGUGGUGCCUGAGGUGGAAAACGAUUUUCUAGUGGUUGGGGAUGAGCUCGCGGCCUAUCAGCUUGUUGGUGGGGUAAUGGCCUACCAAGGCGGCGACGGGUAGCCGGCCUGAGAGGGUGGACGGCCACAUUGGGACUGAGAUACGGCCCAGACUCCUACGGGAGGCAGCAGUGGGGAAUAUUGCACAAUGGGCGGAAGCCUGAUGCAGCGACGCCGCGUGGGGGAUGACGGCCUUCGGGUUGUAAACUCCUUUCGACCGCGAGGAAGCCACCUGGUUGGAAGGGUGGUGACGGUAGUGGUAGAAGAAGCACCGGCUAACUACGUG